CGUUAGAAUGUUUAGACACUUAAAUAGCACAUUUUUACAAGAACAAUGUCCGAGAAUAUUGCCUAACAAAAGAUAAGGUUAAUGUUAGCCGCAAAGUUUAAAGAAAAUUAAACUCAC
Long non-coding RNA from Poecilia latipinna (sailfin molly), 117 nucleotides. RefSeq lists it as uncharacterized. The transcript has 3 exons. NCBI's taxonomy places the organism in Eukaryota, Metazoa, Chordata, Actinopteri, Cyprinodontiformes, Poeciliidae. The record is from RefSeq and is a predicted model, not a curated record.